UGCUUUGUAAUUCAUGGUGUCGGUUG
Molecule: small RNA, 26 nt
Filed under: Bombyx mori (domestic silkworm)
Lineage: Eukaryota; Metazoa; Arthropoda; Insecta; Lepidoptera; Bombycidae
Description: ovarian small RNA-34349
Source: RNAcentral